UCUUCUUAUCUCUUUUCUCUCAUUCUCAACCCACCCUGCCAUUACUAAACCUUGCACAAGUGCAAGGUCACUGAAGAUGAUCAAGGCUCAUCAUUUCCCUCACAUGUUAGCCGCAAAUCCUGUUGAGUAUUCCUUUUUCGCUCACCCAAUUUUGAAUUUCAAGCCCCGAAACCUUACACCAAAAUGUAAAAGAGUAAGAAUCUCAUUUUCUUCCUCUGCUUGUUCAAUCGUCACAUGCAGCCAUGGAUUCAUUAGAAUCUUGACCGCAUCAUGAUGGUCGGUGGUCCAGAGGUCAAACGCAAUGACCUCUAGAUAUUGGCUUUGCCCGGCGGUCCGAUUGGUUUCAACGGCUAGUUCACUCAUUGUUUUAGGGAGGUAAAAAUCUUUACCCCUUUUCCCUUCCUGAUUUCGUCACUUCUCAGUCAUCAGUGCUCAUCAUCAUCUCACAGAUUUUCAAAAUUUGAGUGAAAUCCUAAGUCUCAAUUGUAGCUAUAAAUAGAGGGUUUUAAUGCCCUCACCAAACACACGAACUACCAUAGGAAGCCUAGUAAAUGCUCUCUUCUUAAAUACUUAAAAAACUUUCUCUAAUCUCCUUUCUUUAUUUUCAAUUUUUGCUCGAGUGCAACUACUGAGAAUUGAUUGUGAACUUUAGUUCCUAAACGGCUAAGAAUGGUUACUUGGUUUGUUGCCUCGAAGAAUGUCAGUGGACCACUGAUCUCCCUUUAAUUAUUCAUUCAUUUCAUAUAUUAUCAUGUUGUCUCGUUUGUCUGGUGUUUUUUGUUAAUUGCUUGCCUAUGCUUCAUCGUGAUACUCAUCAGCCAAGCAUGAAACUUUCAAUUGUGUUCUGCUGCUUGUGUUAUUUUUCACUUAAUCAACUGAUACUCCCUGCUAAUAGUUAUGUUUAUCCCCUAUGUUGUUUAAAUCAGUAUUUUCUGGUGAUCAUUGAAUUUUGUUUCUCAUACCUAUAUUAUCAUGGUAUAUUGCUUAACUAAUUGAAUGAUUUUCAUGCUUAUAUUAUUGUGUUGUGUUGUCUAAUUGAGUGAUCCUUGUUGACAGUCAUCACCAUGUUAAUCUGCUUAACUAAUUGAAUGCCCCUCACUGAUAGUCAUGCCUAUGUUAUCAUGUUGAUCUGCUUAGUUAAUCAAAUAGGUCCAGUUGACAGUCAUGCUUAUUGUACCCCAUUGUUCUAUUCAGAAUGAUCUAUGUUACAAGACAUGUUUGUUUAUCAUGAUAACUUGAAUAUGACAAACUUGUCUACCUAGCUUGGCAUGUUUAUACUUUAGAGCUUAAUAUGUGACCCGGUUUGCUUGAAUAAACAAAAAAAUGCUGAUUUACAAUUCCAUGUCUACCUAGCUUGACAGUCAUGCUUAUUGUACCCCAUUGUUCUAUUCAGAAUGAUCUAUGUUACAAGACAUGUUUGUUUAUCAUGAUAACUUGAAUAUGACAAACUUGUCUACCUAGCUUGGCAUGUUUAUACUUUAGAGCUUAAUAUGUGACCCGGUUUGCUUGAAUAAACAAAAAAAUGCUGA
This 1529-nucleotide long non-coding RNA is filed under the name Nicotiana tabacum (common tobacco). Its description in RNAcentral is "long non-coding RNA (NTAB_LNC013755)". The record is from RNAcentral. Lineage: Eukaryota; Viridiplantae; Streptophyta; Magnoliopsida; Solanales; Solanaceae.